Molecule: ribosomal RNA, 639 nt
Filed under: Arthrobacter sp. Se3Pt_1607
Lineage: Bacteria; Bacillati; Actinomycetota; Actinomycetes; Micrococcales; Micrococcaceae
Description: bacterial SSU rRNA
Rfam family: Bacterial small subunit ribosomal RNA
Source: RNAcentral
AGCCUGAUGCAGCGACGCCGCGUGAGGGAUGACGGCCUUCGGGUUGUAAACCUCUUUCAGUAGGGAAGAAGCGUAAGUGACGGUACCUGCAGAAGAAGCGCCGGCUAACUACGUGCCAGCAGCCGCGGUAAUACGUAGGGCGCAAGCGUUAUCCGGAAUUAUUGGGCGUAAAGAGCUCGUAGGCGGUUUGUCGCGUCUGCCGUGAAAGUCCGGGGCUCAACUCCGGAUCUGCGGUGGGUACGGGCAGACUAGAGUGAUGUAGGGGAGACUGGAAUUCCUGGUGUAGCGGUGAAAUGCGCAGAUAUCAGGAGGAACACCGAUGGCGAAGGCAGGUCUCUGGGCAUUAACUGACGCUGAGGAGCGAAAGCAUGGGGAGCGAACAGGAUUAGAUACCCUGGUAGUCCAUGCCGUAAACGUUGGGCACUAGGUGUGGGGGACAUUCCACGUUUUCCGCGCCGUAGCUAACGCAUUAAGUGCCCCGCCUGGGGAGUACGGCCGCAAGGCUAAAACUCAAAGGAAUUGACGGGGGCCCGCACAAGCGGCGGAGCAUGCGGAUUAAUUCGAUGCAACGCGAAGAACCUUACCAAGGCUUGACAUGAACCGGAAAGAUCUGGAAACAGGUCCCCCACUUGUGGUCGG